This 860-nucleotide ribosomal RNA is filed under the name uncultured Psychrobacter sp. Its description in RNAcentral is "bacterial SSU rRNA". It matches the Rfam family "Bacterial small subunit ribosomal RNA", at positions 14 to 856 of the family's 1533-position model. Lineage: Bacteria; Pseudomonadati; Pseudomonadota; Gammaproteobacteria; Moraxellales; Moraxellaceae. The record is from RNAcentral.
UGAUCAUGGCUCAGGAUGAACGCUGGCGGCGUGCUAAUACAUGCAAGUCGAGCGAACAGACGAGGAGCUUGCUCCUCUGACGUUAGCGGCGGACGGGUGAGUAACACGUGGAUAACCUACCUAUAAGACUGGGAUAACUUCGGGAAACCGGAGCUAAUACCGGAUAAUAUAUUGAACCGCAUGGUUCAAUAGUGAAAGACGGUUUUGCUGUCACUUAUAGAUGGAUCCGCGCCGCAUUAGCUAGUUGGUAAGGUAACGGCUUACCAAGGCAACGAUGCGUAGCCGACCUGAGAGGGUGAUCGGCCACACUGGAACUGAGACACGGUCCAGACUCCUACGGGAGGCAGCAGUAGGGAAUCUUCCGCAAUGGGCGAAAGCCUGACGGAGCAACGCCGCGUGAGUGAUGAAGGUCUUCGGAUCGUAAAACUCUGUUAUUAGGGAAGAACAAAUGUGUAAGUAACUAUGCACGUCUUGACGGUACCUAAUCAGAAAGCCACGGCUAACUACGUGCCAGCAGCCGCGGUAAUACGUAGGUGGCAAGCGUUAUCCGGAAUUAUUGGGCGUAAAGCGCGCGUAGGCGGUUUUUUAAGUCUGAUGUGAAAGCCCACGGCUCAACCGUGGAGGGUCAUUGGAAACUGGAAAACUUGAGUGCAGAAGAGGAAAGUGGAAUUCCAUGUGUAGCGGUGAAAUGCGCAGAGAUAUGGAGGAACACCAGUGGCGAAGGCGACUUUCUGGUCUGUAACUGACGCUGAUGUGCGAAAGCGUGGGGAUCAAACAGGAUUAGAUACCCUGGUAGUCCACGCCGUAAACGAUGAGUGCUAAGUGUUAGGGGGUUUCCGCCCCUUAGUGCUGCAGCUAAC